GACGAACGCUGGCGGCGUGCUUAACACAUGCAAGUCGAACGGACUUUCCCUGCUUUUGUUUUUUGCUCGAUUGGCGAACGGGUGAGUAACACGUGAGUAACCUGCCCUUGACUUUGGGAUAACUUCAGGAAACUGGGGCUCAUACCGGAUAUGAUCUCCUGCUUCAUGGUGGGGGUUGUAAAGUUUCGGCGGUUGGGGAUGGACUCGCGGCUUCUCAGCUUGUUGGUGGGGUAUUGGCUUAUAAAGGCUUUGACGGGUAGCCGGCCUGAGAGGGUGACCGGCCACAUUGGGACUGAGAAACGGCCAAGACUGAUACGGGAGGCAGAAGUGGGGAAUAGUGGAAAAUGGGCGGAAGCAUGAUGGAGCAACGCCGGGUGCGGGAGGACGGCCUUCGGGUUGUAAACCGCUUUCGCCUGUGACGAAGCGUGAGUGACGGUAAUGGGUAAAGAAGCACCGGCUAACUACGUG
Molecule: ribosomal RNA, 468 nt
Filed under: uncultured bacterium
Lineage: Bacteria
Description: partial 16S ribosomal RNA
Rfam family: Bacterial small subunit ribosomal RNA
Source: RNAcentral